RNAcentral lists this ribosomal RNA (689 nucleotides) under uncultured bacterium. RNAcentral's name for it is "bacterial SSU rRNA". It matches the Rfam family "Bacterial small subunit ribosomal RNA", at positions 126 to 812 of the family's 1533-position model. The record is from RNAcentral.
CUGCCCGUAGCAGGGGGAUAAGCGGAAGAAAUUCCGUCUAAUACCGCGUAAUAACUCCGAGAGGCAUCUCCUGGGGUUUAAAGGGUAACACCGGCUACGGAUGGCCAUGCGGCGCAUUAGCUAGUUGGCGGGGUAACGGCCCACCAAGGCGACGAUGCGUAGGGGUUCUGAGAGGAAGGUCCCCCACACUGGUACUGAGACACGGACCAGACUCCUACGGGAGGCAGCAGUGAGGAAUAUUGGUCAAUGGGCGCGAGCCUGAACCAGCCAAGUCGCGUGAGGGAAGACGGUCCUAUGGAUUGUAAACCUCUUUUGUCGGGGAGCAAAAGACGCCACGCGUGGCGUUCCGAGAGUACCCGAAGAAAAAGCAUCGGCUAACUCCGUGCCAGCAGUCGCGGUAAUACGGAGGAUGCGAGCGUUAUCCGGAUUUAUUGGGUUUAAAGGGUGCGCAGGCGGAAGAUCAAGUCAGCGGUAAAAUUGAGAGGCUCAACCUCUUCGAGCCGUUGAAACUGGUUUUCUUGAGUGAGCGAGAAGUAUGCGGAAUGCGUGGUGUAGCGGUGAAAUGCAUAGAUAUCACGCAGAACUCCGAUUGCGAAGGCAGCAUACCGGCGCUCAACUGACGCUCAUGCACGAAAGUGUGGGUAUCGAACAGGAUUAGAUACCCUGGUAGUCCACACGGUAAACGAUGA